Molecule: ribosomal RNA, 639 nt
Filed under: uncultured bacterium
Lineage: Bacteria
Description: bacterial SSU rRNA
Rfam family: Bacterial small subunit ribosomal RNA
Source: RNAcentral
GAACGGGGAUUACACGGCGAUGCGAUUUCGGUCAAAUCAAGUGCAAUCUUAGUGGCGGACGGGUGAGUAACGCGUGGGUAACCUGCCUUGCACUGGGGGAUAACACUUAGAAAUAGGUGCUAAUACCGCAUAAGCGCACGGUCCUGCAUGGGACAGUGUGAAAAACUCCGGUGGUGCAAGAUGGACCCGCGUCUGAUUAGCUGGUUGGCGGGGUAAAGGCCCACCAAGGCGACGAUCAGUAGCCGGCCUGAGAGGGUGGACGGCCACAUUGGGACUGAGACACGGCCCAAACUCCUACGGGAGGCAGCAGUGGGGGAUAUUGGACAAUGGGGGGAACCCUGAUCCAGCGACGCCGCGUGAGUGAAGAAGUAUUUCGGUAUGUAAAGCUCUGUCAGCAGGGAAGAAAGCAAUGACGGUACCUGACCAAGAAGCCCCGGCUAACUACGUGCCAGCAGCCGCGGUAAUACGUAGGGGGCAAGCGUUAUCCGGAAUUACUGGGUGUAAAGGGAGCGUAGACGGCUGUGCAAGUCUGGAGUGAAAGGCGGGGGCCCAACCCCCGGACUGCUCUGGAAACUGUAUGGCUGGAGUGCAGGAGAGGUAAGCGGAAUUCCUAGUGUAGCGGUGAAAUGCGUAGAUAUU